GUGGGGAAUAUUGGGCAAUGGGCGAAAGCCUGACCCAGCAACGCCGCGUGAAGGAAGAAGGCCCUCGGGUUGUAAACUUCUUUUAAGAGGGACGAAAGAAAUGACGGUACCUCUUGAAUAAGCCACGGCUAACUACGUGCCAGCAGCCGCGGUAAUACGUAGGUGGCGAGCGUUAUCCGGAUUUACUGGGUGUAAAGGGCGUGUAGGCGGGAGUGCAAGUCAGAUGUGAAAAUUAUGGGCUCAACCCAUAACCUGCAUUUGAAACUGUUCUUCUUGAGUGAUGGAGAGGCAGGCGGAAUUCCGUGUGUAGCGGUGAAAUGCGUAGAUAUACGGAGGAACACCAGUGGCGAAGGCGACCUGCUGGACAUUAACUGACGCUGAGGCGCGAAAGCGUGGGGAGCAAACAGGAUUAGAAACCCCUGUAGUCC
RNAcentral lists this ribosomal RNA (428 nucleotides) under uncultured bacterium. Its description in RNAcentral is "partial 16S ribosomal RNA". It matches the Rfam family "Bacterial small subunit ribosomal RNA", at positions 354 to 796 of the family's 1533-position model. The record is from RNAcentral.